Molecule: long non-coding RNA, 1000 nt
Organism: Notolabrus celidotus (New Zealand spotty)
Lineage: Eukaryota; Metazoa; Chordata; Actinopteri; Labriformes; Labridae
Exons: 4
Source: RefSeq, a predicted model, not a curated record
UUUCCUGGCACUGUGUUUCCUCCCAAGGUUUCAUCUGAGGGAACUGAGUUCAGAAACUGUUUUCUAGUUGCCAUGGAGACAUCACUUUGGUGAAGUGAACAGAAACAGUCGGUGCUACUUACCGUAGAGCGGCUGUUUGAUUGAGUUCACGGUGAGUUCUUCCAGUUACUGUGUUCCUCAUGAGUCCUCGCUCGAUGAAGAAUCUGUGAUGGAGGCUGUUUUAAUAUUGUCUCUGGAAUCCGGUUCGGCAUAAAUGAUCUUCUUUGCAGCAGAUAACUCAAGAUCAUUGCAGGAAGAUAUGGAGGAAAGAUAUGACUGUGUUUGUCUUCUCUAAUGAAUGAUAGUGCAGCAGGGCACCAAGUCAUGAUGUCAAAGGGAUGAUAAAGGAGAAGAAAGAAGAAUGUGAUGAAGAGAUGGGGAGCUUAGCAGGAUUUGACAGAACACUGUUUGGGAGGAGCGGAGCCCAGAGGAUGGAUGGAUCAGCAGAAAAGUGGACAGGAAGGAUAGCAGUGUUUGUUUGUCCCUCUGAACCCGUGUCAAUAAGCCCUUUCACACACAGGAACGACAACCUCGGCCACAUUAACUUUCUGCUUGUUCUCACCUUUGACACCAGCAGCUUGACUGGAGCUGAAGAAAGGGACUUUAAAUCAGUGGUCACAACCUGCCAACCCGAGGAACUGCCAACCUGAGGAACUCGCUUGGACGCCAGUCUUCCACAAUGAUGGCCUGCUGUCUGCUGCCACCCAUUAAGCAAAUCCCUGGACCCUGAUGGCAGCGGCGGGAGCGACUUAAUCAGCAGUUUAAGGAAAACACUUUUCCUCCUCUGGCUGACAAUGAAGGACAAUGAAGACAGCUGCUGUACGUCGAGCUGUGUGUGACUGGAGCCCAGUAUGAGCCUGUAUUUACAUUUCAGUCAAUAGAGUAUUCACUCAUCUGUUUGAAUGACCUUGUAAAGUCAGUAAUCCCUGCUUCACAAUGAAUAAAUACAUAAACAAUGAAA